UGGGGAAUAUUGCACAAUGGGCGCAAGCCUGAUGCAGCCAUGCCGCGUGUAUGAAGAAGGCCUUCGGGUUGUAAAGUACUUUCAGCGGGGAGGAAGGGAGUAAAGUUAAUACCUUUGCUCAUUGACGUUACCCGCAGAAGAAGCACCAGCUAACUCCGUGCCAGCAGCCGCGGUAAUACGGAGGGUGCAAGCGUUAAUCGGAAUUACUGGGCGUAAAGCGCACGCAGGCGGUUUGUUAAGUCAGAUGUGAAAUCCCCGGGCUCAACCUGGGAACUGCAUCUGAUACUGGCAAGCUUGAGUCUCGUAGAGGGGGGUAGAAUUCCAGGUGUAGCGGUGAAAUGCGUAGAGAUCUGGAGGAAUACCGGUGGCGAAGGCGGCCCCCUGGACGAAGACUGACGCUCAGGUGCGAAAGCGUGGGGAGCAAACA
This 427-nucleotide ribosomal RNA is filed under the name uncultured bacterium. RNAcentral describes it as "partial 16S ribosomal RNA". It matches the Rfam family "Bacterial small subunit ribosomal RNA", at positions 355 to 774 of the family's 1533-position model. The record is from RNAcentral.